GAUGAACGCUGGCGGCGUGCCUAAUACAUGCAAGUCGAGCGAACAGACGAGGAGCUUGCUCCUUUGACGUUAGCGGCGGACGGGUGAGUAACACGUGGAUAACCUACCUAUAAGACUGGGAUAACUUCGGGAAACCGGAGCUAAUACCGGAUAAUAUAUUGAACCGCAUGGUUCAAUAGUGAAAGACGGUUUUGCUGUCACUUAUAGAUGGAUCCGCGCCGCAUUAGCUAGUUGGUAAGGUAACGGCUUACCAAGGCAACGAUGCGUAGCCGACCUGAGAGGGUGAUCGGCCACACUGGAACUGAGACACGGUCCAGACUCCUACGGGAGGCAGCAGUAGGGAAUAUUCCACAAUGGGCGAAAGCCUGACGGAGCAACGCCGCGUGAGUGAUGAAGGUCUUCGGAUCGUAAAACUCUGUUAUUAGGGAAGAACAGAUGUGUAAGUAACUAUGCACGUCUUGACGGUACCUAAUCAGAAAGCAACGGCUAACUACGUG
This 497-nucleotide ribosomal RNA is filed under the name uncultured bacterium. RNAcentral describes it as "partial 16S ribosomal RNA". It matches the Rfam family "Bacterial small subunit ribosomal RNA", at positions 28 to 507 of the family's 1533-position model. The record is from RNAcentral.